This 612-nucleotide unclassified non-coding RNA is filed under the name Hevea brasiliensis (rubber tree). Lineage: Eukaryota; Viridiplantae; Streptophyta; Magnoliopsida; Malpighiales; Euphorbiaceae. The record is from RNAcentral.
AGACUUCACCCCAAUAAACCUAGCUGCACACAUCCACGUAAAUUAAAAAUAUUAAUUAGAGUUGCAUUAAUUUGUGUUGAUCAGAUGUUUUAGGCUCUUGAUUAAUCAUAUCUUCCUAAAAAAUUUUGGGAAAGCGAUAUAAUAACCAUGCUUUUGAAGGGAAAAAAAAGGAAAAGGAAAAAAGAAAGUGAAUUCUUGAUUAGUAGUUUUAGUCACUAGCUAAAAUACAAAUAUGUCAAAAUCAAAAUGCUUUCCUAAGAGAGCAUUAGCAAUAAAGUUGAUGGAAAUGUAUAUGACACAAAGGUUUAAUAUUAAUCAGACCACAGUUAUUUUCAGUGAUUGUUUGUUUAUUAGACAAAGAAAUAGGGAUUAGGAGGGCAAAAAGCUUAAUUGAUUAGUCAUUCAAAGCAAAGAUUACACUACAAAAAUUUGUGGGAGGUGAGGAAACUUCUUAUGGGUCUAAAAGGAAAAUAAAGAAUGAUGAAAUGUGGGGUAAAGUUGCAUAGAGCAAAAGAAUAUUUGCAGACAAAGCACCGGAACUUACAGGGAUAAUAAGUAGUAAUAAACAAAAAUGUACAACUUAAAGGUCGCGUGAGAAAGUUAGAGCAGGGG